This 544-nucleotide ribosomal RNA is filed under the name uncultured Glomeromycotina. RNAcentral describes it as "SSU rRNA". It matches the Rfam family "Eukaryotic small subunit ribosomal RNA", at positions 548 to 1098 of the family's 1831-position model. The record is from RNAcentral. Lineage: Eukaryota; Fungi; Glomeromycota.
UUGGAGGGCAAGUCUGGUGCCAGCAGCCGCGGUAAUUCCAGCUCCAAUAGCGUAUAUUAAAGUUGUUGCAGUUAAAAAGCUCGUAGUUGAAUUUCGGAGUUCUACCGUUGGUCGGGCUUUGUCUGUACUGGUGUGUAGAAUUUCUACCUUCUGGAGAACCAUCAUGCUAUUAAUUUAGCGUGGUGGGAAACCAGGACCCUUACCUUGAAAAAAUUAGUGUGUUCAAAGCAGGCUUAUGUCUGAAUACAUUAGCGUGGAAUAAUAGAAUAGGACGGUGGUCCUGUUUUGUUGGUUUCUGAAUCACCGUAAUGAUUAAUAGGGAUAGUUGGGGGCAUUAGUAUUCAAUUGUCAGAGGUGAAAUUCUUGGAUUUAUUGAAGACUAACUUCUGCGAAAGCAUUUGCCAAGGAUGUUUUCAUUAAUCAAGAACGAAAGUUAGGGGAUCGAAGACGAUCAGAUACCGUCGUAGUCUUAACCAUAAACUAUGCCGACUAGGGAUCGGACGAUGUUAAUUUUUCUUGACUCGUUCGGCGCCUUACGGGAAAC